Molecule: ribosomal RNA, 449 nt
Filed under: uncultured bacterium
Lineage: Bacteria
Description: bacterial SSU rRNA
Rfam family: Bacterial small subunit ribosomal RNA
Source: RNAcentral
UGGGGAAUAUUGGACAAUGGGCGAAAGCCUGAUCCAGCCAUGCCGCGUGUGUGAAGAAGGUCUUCGGAUUGUAAAGCACUUUAAGGUGGGAGGAAGGGCAGUAAGCUAAUACCUUGCUGUUUUGACGUUACCGCCAGAAUAAGCACCGGCUAACUCUGUGCCAGCAGCCGCGGUAAUACAGAGGGUGCAAGCGUUAAUCGGAAUUACUGGGCGUAAAGCGCGCGUAGGUGGUUUGUUAAGUUGGAUGUGAAAUCCCCGGGCUCAACCUGGGAACUGCAUCCAAAACUGGCAAGCUAGAGUAUGGUAGAGGGUAGUGGAAUUUCCUGUGUAGCGGUGAAAUGCGUAGAUAUAGGAAGGAACACCAGUGGCGAAGGCGACUACCUGGACUGAUACUGACACUGAGGUGCGAAAGCGUGGGGAGCAAACAGGAUUAGAUACCCCUGUAGUCC